AGACGAGAUGCUGUUUUUAGGGCAGUUUAUUAAAGAAGACCUGACAUGGAUAUGACUCACAAUGAGAAACGACUGCUAAUACUUAUAUAAAUUCAUUACAGAAGGACCCUACCAGACUAUAUUUGAAUACGGCAUACCCAUGAAUUCUGGAACUGUUAUUCCUUAACCCAGUUUGGAGGAUAAGAGCUUACCAACUAGUUAUAAAUAUGCUGAGGUGAUGUAUUGCAAAAUAGCCAACAUACAACAAUUAAAGGAUAAUUGCAGACUACAUCCUGAUGAAGAUAUGGAUGACCCUCUGUCUGGUCAACAGGAGUUUAAAUAUGG
Molecule: long non-coding RNA, 324 nt
Organism: Paramisgurnus dabryanus
Lineage: Eukaryota; Metazoa; Chordata; Actinopteri; Cypriniformes; Cobitidae
Source: RefSeq, a predicted model, not a curated record